UACGAAGGGGGCUAGCGUUGCUCGGAAUCACUGGGCGUAAAGGGUGCGUAGGCGGGUUAUUAAGUCAGAGGUGAAAUCCUGGAGCUCAACUCCAGAACUGCCUUUGAUACUGAUAGUCUUGAGUAUGGGAGAGGUGAGUGGAACUGCGAGUGUAGAGGUGAAAUUCGUAGAUAUUCGCAAGAACACCAGUGGCGAAGGCGGCUCACUGGCCCAUUACUGACGCUGAGGCACGAAAGCGUGGGGAGCGAACGGG
Molecule: ribosomal RNA, 253 nt
Filed under: uncultured bacterium
Lineage: Bacteria
Description: partial 16S ribosomal RNA
Rfam family: Bacterial small subunit ribosomal RNA
Source: RNAcentral